RNAcentral lists this long non-coding RNA (1056 nucleotides) under Mus musculus (house mouse). RNAcentral's name for it is "long non-coding RNA chr6:30645638-30646694". The record is from RNAcentral. Lineage: Eukaryota; Metazoa; Chordata; Mammalia; Rodentia; Muridae.
GUAUCCAUUCAUCUGUAAAAGCAGUAGCCCGGAGUAUGUAAUAUAAAAGUCCUGCCAGCCACUGCUGUCCAAAGGCGAUGUUGCAGGUGAGUCAAACAGACUGCCAUGAAGCAAAAUGUGGCCUCCCACCCCUGAAUAAGUUGGAAGAAAACAUUGAGGUGGAAUGAAAUCAUUUGAAGAUAAGGGAUGGAUGCCCAGCCAGGGACAUUAAUUAACUCUAGUGUAUUGGGGAUGCUUCCCCUGGAAUGGGAAUGGUGGGAAGAACUUACAUUUUGUUUGCCAAAUCCUCCAUGAAGUCCCCAGUGUAUGACCUCUGCUGCCUCUUGUUUCUGUCCACUUUCCUAUAUUCCUGUCCGGGAAUACCCCUCUCGGGAAAGCUCACCUCCCUUGGCAUGGUGACCCUCGGUCUGGGAUAGCACACUUACCAGUGAUCAUCACAAUGCACGAAUCCUCUGCGGCCUUUAAAGCAAGAACUGACACUGGUGACCUUUGUACCCUCAGAUGUGAGCGUGGGUCUAGAGGUACAGCCACACAAGGAAGCACGUAGCUAGGCUGGGAUGGCUGGGGGCUUCUCCUCUCUGCCACUUGCAUUUCAAGAUGCUUCCAGCACUAGGACAUAAGGCUUUGCUUUUUCAUAGAAAAUGGUUUGGAGGUUAAAAAGCUUUUCAUUGUGGGUUCUAUGUUAAUAGUUUUUCCUACCAAAUAUUUAAAAAAUUAGACCAAGGCUGAUUAUACAUAAAUGUCUUCAUCCUAAGAUUAGGAGACCAAGAGGAAGGUCUUUCCAGCCAGGCUGAUGGUAUGGUCCUGUGGUUCCAGCAUGAGGGACAUUGUGAGUUUGGACCCAGCCUUAGGUUACUUGGAAAGACCCUGUUUCAAACAAACAAACAAACAAACAAACAAACAAACAAACAAACAGGUAUUUUUAACUGAAGAUUUGGUAAGACUCCUUUAUUUUUGGGAAAAUAUUUCCCUUUAAGCCAUGGUACAAGAGGCUGUAGGUCAGCCAAAGCUAUGUCUUAACUGCUCUAGCUGGUCGCCUUCUAAAUAAAGACUGGU